GAUGAACGCUGACAGAAUGCUUAACACAUGCAAGUCGAUUCGAUUUACCUUCGGGUAUUGAGGAUGGCGGACGGGUGAGUAACGCGUAAGGAACUUGCCUCUUGGUCUGGGACAACUGUUGGAAACGACAGCUAAUACCGGAUAUUAUGAGAUUCUCGCAUGGGAAACUUAUGAAAGCUAUAUGCGCCAAGAGAGAGCCUUGCGUUCCAUUAGCUAGUUGGUGGGGUAACGGCCCACCAGGGCGACGAUGGAUAGCCGGCCUGAGAGGGUGAACGGCCACAAGGGGACUGAGACACGGCCCUUACUCCUACGGGAGGCAGCAGUGGGGAAUAUUGGACAAUGGGCCACAAGCCUGAUCCAGCAAUUCUGUGUGCACGAUGAAGGUCUUCGGAUUGUAAAGUGCUUUCAGUUGGGAAGAAGAAAGUGACGGUACCAACAGAAGAAGCGACGGCUAAAUACGUGCCAGCAGCCGCGGUAAUACGUAUGUCGCAAGCGUUAUCCGGAUUUAUUGGGCGUAAAGCGCGUCUAGGCGGAAAAAUAAGUCUGAUGUUAAAAUGCGGGGCUCAACUCCGUAUUGCGUUGGAAACUGUUUUUCUAGAGUACUGGAGAGGUGGGCGGAACUACAAGUGUAGAGGUGAAAUUCGUANAUAUUUGUAGG
RNAcentral lists this ribosomal RNA (658 nucleotides) under uncultured prokaryote. Its description in RNAcentral is "bacterial SSU rRNA". It matches the Rfam family "Bacterial small subunit ribosomal RNA", at positions 28 to 704 of the family's 1533-position model. The record is from RNAcentral.